CAAUGAUGUUUUUAUAGUUUCUAAAUAUCUCCUGAAAGAGAGGAGUUUGAAAUACUAAUCAUAAAGCUUCUACUGUGUUCAUUACAUGGUAGUAUAUAAAUAGUCUACAUUCACGAUAAAUAAAGUUUGGAAAUUUAUACAAAAGUUUGUAAAUUUGUAAAUUUUACAGAGGCCUUGCAUUAAAAUGUUAGGGUUUUGUUUGUUUGUCUUUUUGUGAAGCACCCAGCCACUAUUGAACAAUUAAAUCAACAUUUCAGAAUCCUUUGGUGGCUGGUCAUGUUUAAAGGGUGGUUUCUAAGUAGUCAAUUGUUUGAGCCAGAGAUAAAACUAAUUCAGUAGGGAACGGGAUUGGACUAAAAUUAUUUGUACAUUUUGGCACUUGAUCACUAUCAUUACUAUAACUUUUGACAUACUACAAAAAUGAGGUGCAAUGUGUACUCUCAUGUAACGUUAGGUCCUGUUGUCCCAUAUGAGAAAUCCCAAAGUGACUGUCAAACUGGAUUUGUGUUUCGUUGAUGUUUUAUAAGAACUAAAGGCCAAACAAAGUAAUCUGAGAGUUAGAAAAUUCUGAGUUGAUAAUAGUUCUUAGUAACAGCCUCAUUCUUUUAAGAGAGAUAAGUUACAAAGCCAUAUGGUCUUGUUUGUGACGUCCUGUGGGUUCUGAACUAUAAAUAUUUUCUUUCCUAGAAGACAGGUGUGGACUUCCUCUGAAUAUUUGGGUAAAUUACAGAGACCACUGCUACCACCAAACUGUGGAAGUGGUCUUUUUUUUAAUUUCUAAUUUUGUGUUUUUUUGAAUGUUUCCUUUUUAGAGACAGGAAGGAUCAGAUGAUGGUAAGAUUGACUUUCUUCUGUACUUCUGGGAUACAAACAUCUAGAAGGUACCAGUCAAAAGAAGGGCUUACCAGCUGCUCUAGACCAGUGAAAGGGACACUGUCUUGCUUUAUUUUGUACUCAUCUUUCCCAGGGUCUCGAUGUCUUUUGCUUAAAGAGUUGGAGGAAAUAGAAACGACUCCUGGGGACAGAAUUUAGAAG
Molecule: long non-coding RNA, 1035 nt
Filed under: Equus asinus (donkey)
Lineage: Eukaryota; Metazoa; Chordata; Mammalia; Perissodactyla; Equidae
Description: lncRNA (ENSEASG00005030560.1)
Source: RNAcentral